UACGUAGGGGGCAAGCGUUGUCCGGAAUUAUUGGGCGUAAAGCGCGUGUAGGCGGCUCGGUAAGUCUGCUGUGAAAGUCCAAGGCUCAACCUUGGAAUGCCGGUGGAUACUGUCGAGCUCGAGUCCGGAAGAGGCGAGUGGAAUUCCGGGUGGAGCGGUGAAAUGCGUAGAGAUCCGGAGGAACACCGACGGCGUAGGCAGCGCCCUGGCCGUUUCCUGACGCUGAAGCACGAAAGCUGGGGGAGCAAACAGG
Molecule: ribosomal RNA, 253 nt
Filed under: uncultured bacterium
Lineage: Bacteria
Description: partial 16S ribosomal RNA
Rfam family: Bacterial small subunit ribosomal RNA
Source: RNAcentral